GAUGAAGAACGUAGUGAAAUGCGAUAAGUAAUGUGAAUUGCAGAAUUCAGUGAAUCAUCGAAUCUUUGAACGCACAUUGCGCCCCUUGGUAUUCCGGGGGGCAUGCCUGUUCGAGCGUCAUUUCAACCCUCAAGCUCUGCUUGGUAUUGGGCCCGGUGGGCGAUUGCCUACCAGCCUUAAAGAGAGUGGCGGUGCCCCGCGGCCCUGAGCGUAGUAACUACUCCCGCUAUAGGUGUCCACGGGCUCAACAGCCAGCAACCCCAACUUUCUAUGGUUGACCUCGGAUCAGGUAGGGAUACCCGCUGAACUUAAGCAUAUCAAUAAGCGGAGGA
RNAcentral lists this unclassified non-coding RNA (332 nucleotides) under soil metagenome. RNAcentral describes it as "partial contains 5.8S ribosomal RNA, internal transcribed spacer 2, and large subunit ribosomal RNA". The stretch from base 1 to 120 matches the Rfam family "5.8S ribosomal RNA", at positions 35 to 154 of the family's 154-position model. The record is from RNAcentral.